Molecule: ribosomal RNA, 421 nt
Filed under: uncultured bacterium
Lineage: Bacteria
Description: bacterial SSU rRNA
Rfam family: Bacterial small subunit ribosomal RNA
Source: RNAcentral
AAGGAAUAUUGGUCAAUGGAGGCAACUCUGAACCAGCCAUGCCGCGUGAAGGAUUAAGGCCCUCUGGGUUGUAAACUUCUUUUAUAUGGGAAGAAAUGUACUUUUUCUAAAGUGCUUGACGGUACCAUAGGAAUAAGCACCGGCUAACUCUGUGCCAGCAGCCGCGGUAAUACGGAGGGUGCAAGCGUUAUCCGGAUUUACUGGGUUUAAAGGGUGCGUAGGCGGAUGAGUAAGUCAGUGGUGAAAUCUCCGAGCUUAACUCGGAAACUGCCGUUGAUACUAUUUGUCUUGAAUAUUGUGGAGGUAAGCAGAAUAUGUCAUGUAGCGGUGAAAUGCUUAGAUAUGACAUAGAACACCAAUUGCGAAGGCAGCUUGCUACACAAUCAUUGACGCUGAGGCACGAAAGCGUGGGGAUCAAACA